UACGAAGGGGGCUAGCGUUGCCCGGAAUCACUGGGCGUAAAGGGUGCGUAGGCGGGUCUUUUAAGUCAGGGGUGAAAUCCUGGAGCUCAACUCCAGAACUGCCUUUGAUACUGAGGAUCUUGAGUUCGGGAGAGGUGAGUGGAACUGCGAGUGUAGAGGUGAAAUUCGUAGAUAUUCGCAAGAACACCAGUGGCGAAGGCGGCUCACUGGCCCGAUACUGACGCUGAGGCACGAAAGCGUGGGGAGCAAACAGGG
This 255-nucleotide ribosomal RNA is filed under the name uncultured bacterium. RNAcentral describes it as "partial 16S ribosomal RNA". It matches the Rfam family "Bacterial small subunit ribosomal RNA", at positions 524 to 777 of the family's 1533-position model. The record is from RNAcentral.